CCAUACAUACCAAAUGCCUUCGCAGUUUGCUUGCAGUACCAAUAAGCUAGCAUGCCCCAUGACCUACAUAGCCUAAGCCAAGUGCUCCUUAGAGUAAGACAAAAGACAUUGCCCAUUAUGUUAGCCAAAAGGUAAUAAAUAAAUAAAUAAAAACUUUUGAUAUUGUUUUGGGUAAGAGUCUAGAGAACAAAUAAAAUUGUUUCUUUCUGUUUACGACACAUACAAUACAAGCAUUUGCCGUCCAUCCAUUGGUGAUUGAUUGAUUGUUGGUUGGCUGGCCACUCCAAUGACUUCCUCG
RNAcentral lists this long non-coding RNA (298 nucleotides) under Prunus persica (peach). RNAcentral's name for it is "long non-coding RNA (PPER_LNC006726)". The record is from RNAcentral. Lineage: Eukaryota; Viridiplantae; Streptophyta; Magnoliopsida; Rosales; Rosaceae.